AAUGAACGCUGGCGGCAGGCCUAACACAUGCAAGUCGAACGGGUCCUUCGGGACUAGUGGCGGACGGGUGAGUAACGCGUGGGAACAUACCCAAAGGUACGGAAUAGCCUCGGGAAACUGAGAGUAAUACCGUAUGUGCCCUUCGGGGGAAAGAUUUAUCGCCUUUGGAUUGGCCCGCGUUGGAUUAGGUAGUUGGUGGGGUAAUGGCCUACCAAGCCGACGAUCCAUAGCUGGUUUGAGAGGAUGAUCAGCCACACUGGGACUGAGACACGGCCCAGACUCCUACGGGAGGCAGCAGUGGGGAAUCUUAGACAAUGGGGGAAACCCUGAUCUAGCCAUGCCGCGUGAUCGAUGAAGGCCUUAGGGUUGUAAAGAUCUUUCAGAUGGGAAGAUAAUGACGGUACCAUCAGAAGAAGCCCCGGCUAACUCCGUG
Molecule: ribosomal RNA, 433 nt
Filed under: uncultured bacterium
Lineage: Bacteria
Description: bacterial SSU rRNA
Rfam family: Bacterial small subunit ribosomal RNA
Source: RNAcentral